Molecule: long non-coding RNA, 304 nt
Filed under: Pan troglodytes (chimpanzee)
Lineage: Eukaryota; Metazoa; Chordata; Mammalia; Primates; Hominidae
Description: long non-coding RNA NONPTRT013555
Source: RNAcentral
CACACACACACACACACACACACAGGAAUACUAUUCUCCAUUACAAAAGAAGAAAAUCUUGCCAUUUCUUCUUGCCAAUGUUGUUGCCAUCAACAACAUUGAUGAACUUGGAGGACAUUAUGUUAAGUGAAAUAAACCAGGCACAGCAAGACAAGUAUCAUAGAAUCUUAUGUGUGGAGUGUUAGAAAAGUCAAACUCAUAGAAACAGAGAGUAAAAUGGAGAUUACUAGAGGCUGAGGGAUGGAAGUAAAAGGACACCAAAUUUCAGUUAGAAGAAAUAAGUUCAAGAGAUCUAUUGUACAUC